RNAcentral lists this long non-coding RNA (2557 nucleotides) under Manihot esculenta (cassava). RNAcentral's name for it is "long non-coding RNA (MESC_LNC001894)". The record is from RNAcentral. Lineage: Eukaryota; Viridiplantae; Streptophyta; Magnoliopsida; Malpighiales; Euphorbiaceae.
UGUUCUUCUUACAUUGGUUAAUUGCAAAUGGUCCCCAUUUGAGGGCAAAUUCUCUGUCAAUGUUCCUGUCGUGAUUCAUGAACCAACUGCUAAAGGAUAGGCCCUCUCUUUUCAUUUUGUUUUUCACUUUCCUUGGCACGUGAGAUAAUCUUUACUCAUUGCCAAUUAGACAGAUAUCUAAUAUUAUCAUCAAAUCCUUUGAUUGGUUUGAUUUACAAGUUGCAAACCUUGAUUGGGUACACAAUUCAAGCAAUUUUGUCAGAUAAUUGAUCACCUCCCACAUGACAAAAUCUUGGUUAGCUAUCAUUUUGAUUAAUAACCACAUAAUUCAGCAGAUUCCUCAGCCAGGCAAUAUUUCAUUUAAUCAAGUACCUGCAAAGUAAAUUGGUGUGCCUGUAGUCCUCGCACAAAUGCUUUAACCUGCACUCAUUGCAGAAGAAACAGCAGGGACAUAAAAAUGUUUUGAAGUUCAUGAUAAACAUCUGAAGUCCCAUGCUUGCUCUGUCUGUGCGUGUGAUUUACUGAAAAAGGGACCAUUCUUCUCUCUUCUUUUAUCAGCAAGGUGACGAUGAUCAAUAAUUUUUCAAAAGCAAUAAACACAGAAAACAUACCUCACACAUUGGAAAGUCAUGAUGUAUUCUGCUGCCACUUUCUUCUUUUGCCUUUUAUACUUCUCUGUUUCAAUUUACCAGGUAUAUUGUUUUUGUUUUUAACUGAAAAAUGUAAAAUCGCCAGUAGUACUGAUAUAAUAUUAACUGGGAACCAACUAUAAACAAAUCUGAAUCACAAAUCUAGACAAUGGUUCUUGAUGAUUGGAAUAAUCACCGAGUAUUAGAUAACCUGAACCUGACAAAUUUCUUUAUAAAAUUUGGGGUGCCUACAUCAUCUGUACUCCUUUGUUAGUGGAAGGUGAAAGCUACAUUGGCUAAACUUGUAAACUAAAAGCAAAAGCAUGAGUUUUUCUUUUUCUCUUUGUAGAACAUGCCAAUGGAGUGGCCUUGUUUCUCUGAUCCUUACAUCUGGAACAACUCAUUCUGUUUCACAAAAAGGUAGCUAAAGACAAGAAAUUGAGAAAAUUUAUCUGUGGGAUUUUGAAAUUGAGAACAAUCCCCUUGAAGAGGUUAACAAGAAUCUUAAGUGUCCGUAAUGUAAAACAAGAAAUCGAAAAUUUGCGUAUCAGCUAAGAGGAAAAAUCGUUUCACUCUUUUGCUAAACAGAAGUGAAAUCUGGAUACAAAAACCUUAUAGCUGUGCCCUUCUGCAACUAAAGACAGUCCAUAUACUUCAAAAAUUAAAAAUAAAAUAAAACAAAAUAAAAUAAAAUAAAAUAAAAAGUAAUAACUACUUAGCAGUGAAAUCCCAGUUUGUGCACGUCUUUUGUGAAGAGCUUUCCUGCUAUUUGCAACCUUACUGAUGUUGCUUUAGCAAUUUCUUUCUCAAACACAUCCAAAUCCAUCUGACCUUCUCGGCAUUCAAGUGAGCAAAAUGCACCUAGGAAACUGCAUCAAUCAAAGAAAGCAUUUUUAAGGCAAAUAUAGCAAAUGAAUUUCAAAAGAUGCAGUUUCUAUAUAUUCUAAAGAAUUAUUAUUAUAAUAAGCAAUAUUGAAAAAUCAACUCUGGGAAGAAUGACUGCAUAGACUAAAGAACACUGCAACAGCUUGCAAAACCACAUAUCAAUUAGUGCUCUUGGAAAUUUUUGAACAACUAAUCCUUUUCCCUUCUUCUGUAAUAUAUUACUGUUUGAUUGCAGAUAAGUUUUCAGGUGAUUAGAAGUCAAUAUUAUGCAUGUAAGCUCAGCAUCAAACCAACUAUGAGCAUAAAAUCAAUAUCUUACCUUAUGUUUUGUACGCGGCAAUGCAAUAAAAUACAAUCAAAAUAGAAACUUUGAUUUCUAUUUUUUUUUUUUCCUAUUUAACUGAAAUUCAAGUUGUUAAUAUUAGUUUAAACAGGGAAAAGGAGAAAAGAGAAGAAGACUCACCCAUACAUGUAAAUAUCUUUGUCCUAAAGUAGUUUCUUCUUGCACAAGAAACAAGCUUUAAGAAACUCUCCAAACCCUUUACCAGGCUUCUUGUUCUUUAUCCGUGCAUCGUUCACGGGUAAUCCAAACGUGAAUAUACACCGCCGAGUCUUCUGCUUUUCUGCCGAUACUGGAGGCUGAUAGAGCUCUUUAACCGUCUUUGAGGUGAGAUCAGGGUGUGUUUCCUCUCAAAGAAAGCCACCGGAGACUCGAUUGGCCGAAUAUGGUUCCACAGCCCAAUCUCUACCUGACUCGACGACCGAACAACACGAGAACGUUUGGAAGACAUUGAUAAUUAGUACUGUAAAUAUAUGGAUUGUAUGUUGGUGUCAAAUGGUGCAAGAAUGCAGGAUUUUAAUUAGGGUUUUGCAGGAUAUGUGGGGUUUAAGCUCUGCAAUGCAUGAACCUUUUUUUUAAGUAGUAGUUUUUAUGUUGAGGAAACAAAAUUAAUUAUUGUUGCUAAAGGGCUGGAAUUAGGGUUUUGUAUAAUGAAUAUUAGUGUGAGCUUUGACAGAGGUUUGAGAGAUCUUUGGAAUGGAAU